This 483-nucleotide ribosomal RNA is filed under the name uncultured bacterium. RNAcentral's name for it is "partial 16S ribosomal RNA". It matches the Rfam family "Bacterial small subunit ribosomal RNA", at positions 28 to 523 of the family's 1533-position model. The record is from RNAcentral.
GAUGAACGCUGGCGGCGUGCCUAAUACAUGCAAGUCGAGCGAACCACUUCGGUGGUGAGCGGCGAACGGGUGAGUAACACGUAGGUGAUCUGCCCAUCAGACGGGGACAACGAUUGGACACGAUCGCUAAUACCGGAUAGGACGAAAGUUUAAAGGUGAUUCUGGCACCGCUGAUGGAUGAGCCUGCGGCACAUUAGCUAGUUGGGAGGGUAAGGGCCUACCAAGGCGACGAUGCAUAGGCGACCUGAGAGGGUGAACGGCCACACUGGGUCUGAUACACGGCCCAGACUCCUACGGGGGGCAGCAGUAGGGAAUCUUCGGCAAUGGGCGAAAGCCUGACCGAGCAACGCCGCGUGAAUGAUGAAGGCCUUCGGGUUGUAAAAUUCUGUUAUAAGGGAAGAACGACUUUAGUAGGAAAUGGCUAGAGUGUUACGGUACCUUAUGAGAAAGCCACGGCUAACUACGUGCCAGCCGCCGCGGUAA